This is a small nuclear RNA of Heterocephalus glaber (naked mole-rat), 155 nucleotides long. Its record names the gene U2. It matches the Rfam family "U2 spliceosomal RNA". From Rfam's summary of the family: U2 is a small nuclear RNA (snRNA) component of the spliceosome (involved in pre-mRNA splicing). NCBI's taxonomy places the organism in Eukaryota, Metazoa, Chordata, Mammalia, Rodentia, Bathyergidae. The record is from Ensembl.
AUCGCUUCUCGGCCUUUUGGCUAAGAUCAAGUGUAGGAAUUAAAAAUAUGACCAAAAAACUGCCUAAAAAUGAUGGUCUCAGUCUAAGAGUAUCAUCAUCCUAAAAUGCUUAAACACUAUUUAAUUAAUUACACUAUAUAUGUAAGUUAAUUGUC